AGUGAACGCUGGCGGUAGGCCUAACACAUGCAAGUCGAACGGCAGCACAGGAGAGCUUGCUCUCUGGGUGGCGAGUGGCGGACGGGUGAGGAAUACAUCGGAAUCUACUCUGUCGUGGGGGAUAACGUAGGGAACCUUACGCUAAUACCGCAUACGACAUACGGGUGAAAGCAGGGGAUCUUCGGACCUUGCGCGAUUGAAUGAGCCGAUGUCGGAUUAGCUAGUUGGCGGGGUAAAGGCCCACCAAGGCGACGAUCCGGAGCUGGUCUGAGAGGAUGAUCAGCCACACUGGAACUGAGACCCGGUCCAGACUCCUACGGGAGGCAGCAGUGGGGAAUAUUGGACAAUGGGCGCAAGCCUGAUCCAGCCAUACCGCGCGGGUGAAGAAGGCCUUCGGGUUGUAAAGCCCUUUUGUUGGGAAAGAAAUCCAGCUGGCUAAUACCCGGUUGGGAUGUCGGUACCCAAAGAAUAAGCACCGGCUAACUUCGUGCCAGCCGCCGCCGUAA
RNAcentral lists this ribosomal RNA (506 nucleotides) under uncultured bacterium. Its description in RNAcentral is "partial 16S ribosomal RNA". It matches the Rfam family "Bacterial small subunit ribosomal RNA", at positions 29 to 523 of the family's 1533-position model. The record is from RNAcentral.